RNAcentral lists this ribosomal RNA (253 nucleotides) under uncultured bacterium. RNAcentral describes it as "partial 16S ribosomal RNA". It matches the Rfam family "Bacterial small subunit ribosomal RNA", at positions 524 to 776 of the family's 1533-position model. The record is from RNAcentral.
UACGUAGGUGGCAAGCGAUACUCGGAAUCACUAGGCGUAAAGCGCAGGUAGGAGGUUUAGAAAGUCUCUUGUGAAAGCUCCCGGCUUAACUGGGAGAGGUCAAGGGAAACUACUAGGCUAGAGUGCGGUAGAGGUAGCUGGAAUUCCCGGUGUAGCGGUGAAAUGCGCAGAUAUCGGGAGGAACACCAAUGGCGAAAGCAGGUAACUGGACUAUUACUGACACUCAACUGCGAAAGCUAGGGGAGCAAACAGG